UAUUUGCUCCUGCCUUAUUAGUAUUAAUAUUUUAAGAGAUCUGGGGCUAUUCAUUUGUUCUUUGCUACCAUUGCACACCUCACAACUCUUAAAGCAACAGAAGGCUUCAGGCAAGAGCAGCAGGGAACAACAGAGGGAGGCAGUAGGUACAUAAAAUGGAGGCAGAGACAACAUGGCUGAAAUUUAAGAUCUAUGGAUGUGGAAAGGAUGUAAAUGAGCUUCUUCAUCCUCUACUGCCCACAGCAGCCUUGCAAGCUGUCCAAAAGCUGCUCCUGAGGACUCUCAGGAAUGAGAAAUUUCUGGAGAAAACUAGAAACUCACUGCACAAUCAAAUAUAUCAGUGUGGGAAAGUCCAGCCUAGUAUUUAUACAGCUUUCUAACUUCGGCAGAUCCUGCCAAGUUGGUUGCUGCUACUGAAAAAGCCUUGUCUCUAGCCCUGGAUUGCCUCAGGCAGCCAAUUGCAGAACUGCCAGCCAUCACAUUUGCAACAUUUUCCUUUGCAAACAAAUGCCACUAUAGCUGUGAGCAGUGAGGUGGAGAGUGUGAGGGACACACAUGUCCAGGCAGGACUUUUGACACACUUUGGUGCUGCAACCCUAUUCUAAUGUUUAUCUCUGACAGCUCUGAUAGCUUUUAAA
This is a long non-coding RNA of Hemicordylus capensis (graceful crag lizard), 638 nucleotides long. RefSeq lists it as uncharacterized. The record is from RefSeq and is a predicted model, not a curated record. The transcript has 3 exons. NCBI's taxonomy places the organism in Eukaryota, Metazoa, Chordata, Lepidosauria, Squamata, Cordylidae.